GAUGAACGCUGGCGGCGUGCCUAAUACAUGCAAGUCGAGCGAACGGACGAGAAGCUUGCUUCUCUGAUGUUAGCGGCGGACGGGUGAGUAACACGUGGAUAACCUACCUAUAAGACUGGGAUAACUUCGGGAAACCGGAGCUAAUACCGGAUGAUAUUUUGAACCGCAUGGUUCAAAAGUGAAAGACGGUCUUGCUGUCACUUAUAGAUGGAUCCGCGCUGCAUUAGCUAGUUGGUAAGGUAACGGAUUACCAAGGCAACGAUGCAUAGCCGACCUGAGAGGGUGAUCGGCCACACUGGAACUGAGACACGGUCCAGACUCCUACGGGAGGCAGCAGUAGGGAAUCUUCCGCGAUGGGCGAAAGCCUGACGGAGCAACGCCGCGUGAGUGAUGAAGGUCUUCGGAUCGUAAAACUCUGUUAUUAGGGAAGAACAUAUGUGUAAGUAACUGUGCACAUCUUGACGGUACCUAAUCAGAAAGCCACGGCUAACUACGUG
RNAcentral lists this ribosomal RNA (497 nucleotides) under uncultured bacterium. RNAcentral's name for it is "partial 16S ribosomal RNA". It matches the Rfam family "Bacterial small subunit ribosomal RNA", at positions 28 to 507 of the family's 1533-position model. The record is from RNAcentral.